AACAUUUAUCAAAAUAUAAUCUAAAUUUUUGACGUUUAGGGCCAAAUUAGAAAGAUUCAGUUGACAGCUGCCGUACCGUAGAACGUACCGAUGGUAUCUAAAUUAUUUGUUUACAUACAUACACAUAACAUUACUCAUCGUGCCUUUUACUACAAUAACAUUAUUUUGACCCUAAUUUUGAAGAUUUGCAGCGGAUAUGAGUAAAAUGAAAGUGAAAUUGGUUUGAUUGAUUUCGCUCGUUUUGCGCUCCGAAGCCGCC
Molecule: long non-coding RNA, 259 nt
Organism: Nicrophorus vespilloides
Lineage: Eukaryota; Metazoa; Arthropoda; Insecta; Coleoptera; Silphidae
Exons: 2
Source: RefSeq, a predicted model, not a curated record